Molecule: ribosomal RNA, 201 nt
Filed under: uncultured bacterium
Lineage: Bacteria
Description: partial 16S ribosomal RNA
Rfam family: Bacterial small subunit ribosomal RNA
Source: RNAcentral
UCGUAGGGUGCAGCGUUGUCCGGAAUUAUUGGGCGUAAAGAGCUUGUAGGCGGUUUGUCGCGUCUGCUGUGAAAUCUCAAGGCUCAACCUUGAGCUUGCAGUGGGUACGGGCAGACUAGAGUGUGGUAGGGGAGACUGGAAUUCCCUGGUGUAGCGGUGAAAUGCGCAGAUAUCCAGGAGGAACACCGAUGGCGAAGGCAG